This 77-nucleotide transfer RNA is filed under the name Patescibacteria group bacterium. RNAcentral describes it as "tRNA-Arg". It matches the Rfam family "tRNA". From Rfam's summary of the family: Transfer RNA (tRNA) molecules are approximately 80 nucleotides in length. Their secondary structure includes four short double-helical elements and three loops (D, anti-codon, and T loops). The record is from RNAcentral.
GCAGCCAUAGCUCAGCUGGAUAGAGCGUCAGCUUGCGGAGCUGAAGGUCGUUGGUUCGACUCCAACUGGCUGCACCA